CUACGUGCCAGCAGCCGCGGUAAUACGUAGGUCCCGAGCGUUGUCCGGAUUUAUUGGGCGUAAAGCGAGCGCAGGCGGUUUGAUAAGUCUGAAGUUAAAGGCUGUGGCUCAACCAUAGUUCGCUUUGGAAACUGUCAAACUUGAGUGCAGAAGGGGAGAGUGGAAUUCCAUGUGUAGCGGUGAAAUGCGUAGAUAUAUGGAGGAACACCGGUGGCGAAAGCGGCUCUCUGGUCUGUAACUGACGCUGAGGCUCGAAAGCGUGGGGAGCGAACAGGAUUAGAUACCCUGGUAGUCCACGCCGUAAACGAUGAGUGCUAGGUGUUGGAUCCUUUCCGGGAUUCAGUGCCGCAGCUAACGCAUUAAGCACUCCGCCUGGGGAGUACGACCGCAAGGUUGAAACUCAAAGGAAUUGACGGGGGCCCGCACAAGCGGUGGAGCAUGUGGUUUAAUUCGAAGCAACGCGAAGAACCUUACCAGGUCUUGACAUCCCGAUGCUAUUUCUAGAGAUAGAAAGU
RNAcentral lists this ribosomal RNA (515 nucleotides) under uncultured bacterium. Its description in RNAcentral is "bacterial SSU rRNA". It matches the Rfam family "Bacterial small subunit ribosomal RNA", at positions 501 to 1014 of the family's 1533-position model. The record is from RNAcentral.